RNAcentral lists this transfer RNA (77 nucleotides) under bacterium. Its description in RNAcentral is "tRNA-Met". It matches the Rfam family "tRNA". Rfam says of the family: Transfer RNA (tRNA) molecules are approximately 80 nucleotides in length. Their secondary structure includes four short double-helical elements and three loops (D, anti-codon, and T loops). The record is from RNAcentral.
GGGCCUUUAGCUCAGUUGGUUAGAGCAGAGGACUCAUAAUCCUUUGGUCGAUGGUUCAAGUCCAUCAGGGCCCACCA